AUUGAACGCUGGCGGCAUGCUUUACACAUGCAAGUCGAACGGCAGCGCGGGCUUCGGCCUGGCGGCGAGUGGCGAACGGGUGAGUAAUGCAUCGGAACGUGCCCAGUAGUGGGGGAUAGCCCGGCGAAAGCCGGAUUAAUACCGCAUACGACCUGCGGGUGCAAGCGGGGGACCGAAAGGCCUCGCGCUAUUUGAGCGGUCGAGGUCGGAUUUGCUAGUUGGUGGGGUAAAGGCUUACCAAGGCGACGAUCCGUAGCUGGUCUGAGAGGACGACCAGCCACACUGGGACUGAGACACGGCCCAGACUCCUACGGGAGGCAGCAGUGGGGAAUUUUGGACAAUGGGGGCAACCCUGAUCCAGCCAUGCCGCGUGCGGGAAGAAGGCCUUCGGGUUGUAAACCGCUUUUGUUCGGGAAGAAAUCCUCUGGGCUAAUACCCCGGGGGGAUGACGGUACCGGAAGAAUAAGCACCGGCUAACUACGUG
This 484-nucleotide ribosomal RNA is filed under the name uncultured bacterium. Its description in RNAcentral is "partial 16S ribosomal RNA". It matches the Rfam family "Bacterial small subunit ribosomal RNA", at positions 28 to 507 of the family's 1533-position model. The record is from RNAcentral.